AGUUAGCGCGUUUUUGCAUUACGAUUUUUUUACAACAAAUUAGUCGUUCACGAGAUGUAGACGCAGUUUUAAUCAAAUGAUAAUAUCGAAUGGAGGCCACGGAUGGGGACAAGGAGCGUGGGGCGUCCUCCAACCAGGUGGACUGACGACUUAGUGCGCACGGCGGGAAGUCGUUGGAUGCGGAAGGCGGAGGACCGCAUUAUGUGGAAGGCAUUGGGGAAGGCCUAUGUCCAGCAGUGGGCAGAUAAAGGCUGAUGAUGAUGAUGAUGAUGAUGAUGAUGAUGAUAAUUAUAUGUAAUUUUAUUUUAGUGAAAAUAACCCUUCUACUCAUAUCUGUUCAUAAAAUAUUUAUAACUACUGAUUACCAUGCACCCCACGCUUUUUUUUACAAUAAAAUAAUUUUUUCUUA
Bombyx mori (domestic silkworm) is the source of this 409-nucleotide long non-coding RNA. RefSeq lists it as uncharacterized. The record is from RefSeq and is a predicted model, not a curated record. The transcript has 2 exons. NCBI's taxonomy places the organism in Eukaryota, Metazoa, Arthropoda, Insecta, Lepidoptera, Bombycidae.